UUGGAGGGCAAGUCUGGUGCCAGCAGCCGCGGUAAUUCCAGCUGCAAUAGCGUAUAUUAAAGUUGUUGCAGUUAAAAAGCUCGUAGUUGAACCUCGGGGUCUACCCAUUGGUCAGGCUUAAUUGUCUGCACUGGUGAGAUGGAUCUCUACCUUCUGAGGAACUUUCAUGCCAUUUAUUUGGUGUGAUGGGAAAUCAGGACUGUUACUUUGAAAAAAUUAGAGUGUUUAAAGCAGACUAUCGUCUGAAUACAUUAGCAUGGAAUAAUGAAAUAGGACGGACUGAUUCUAUUUCGUUGGUUUCUAGGAUCACCGUAAUGAUUAAUAGGGAUAGUUGGGGGCAUUAGUAUUCAAUUGUCAGAGGUGAAAUUCUUGGAUUUAUUGAAGACUAACUACUGCGAAAGCAUUUGCCAAGGAUGUUUUCAUUAAUCAAGGACGAAAGUUAGGGGAUCGAAGACGAUCAGAUACCGUCGUAGUCUUAACCAUAAACUAUGCCGACUAGGGAUCGGACGAAGUUAGUUUUAUAAUGACGCGUUCGGCACCUUACGGGAAACCAAAGUGUUUGGGUUC
Molecule: ribosomal RNA, 567 nt
Filed under: uncultured Glomeromycotina
Lineage: Eukaryota; Fungi; Glomeromycota
Description: SSU rRNA
Rfam family: Eukaryotic small subunit ribosomal RNA
Source: RNAcentral